GACGAACGCUGGCGGCGUGCCUAAUACAUGCAAGUAGAACGCUGAAGGAGAAGCUUGCUUCUCCGGAUGAGUUGCGAACGGGUGAGUAACGCGUAGGUAACCUGCCUGGUAGCGGGGGAUAACUAUUGGAAACGAUAGCUAAUACCGCAUAAGAGUAGAUGUUGCAUGACAUUUGCUUAAAAGGUGCAAUUGCAUCACUACCAGAUGGACCUGCGUUGUAUUAGCUAGUUGGUGAGGUAACGGCUCACCAAGGCAACGAUACAUAGCCGACCUGAGAGGGUGAUCGGCCACACUGGGACUGAGACACGGCCCAGACUCCUACGGGAGGCAGCAGUAGGGAAUCUUCGGCAAUGGACGGAAGUCUGACCGAGCAACGCCGCGUGAGUGAAGAAGGUUUUCGGAUCGUAAAGCUCUGUUGUAAGAGAAGAACGAGUGUGAGAGUGGAAAGUUC
This 451-nucleotide ribosomal RNA is filed under the name Streptococcus mitis. RNAcentral describes it as "bacterial SSU rRNA". It matches the Rfam family "Bacterial small subunit ribosomal RNA", at positions 28 to 465 of the family's 1533-position model. The record is from RNAcentral. Lineage: Bacteria; Bacillati; Bacillota; Bacilli; Lactobacillales; Streptococcaceae.